AGUGGACGCUGGCGGCGUGCUUAACACAUGCAAGUCGAACGAGAACGGGUUAUAGCUUGCUAUAAUUGUCAGCUAAGUGGCGCACGGGUGAGUAAUGUAUAGGUAAUAUGCCUCUUACUAAGGGAUAACAAAUGGAAACGUUUGCUAAUACCUUAUACUCCUUAUUAACAGAAGUUAAUAAGGGAAAGAUUUAUUGGUAAGAGAUUAGCCUGUAUUGUAUCAGUUAGUUGGUGGGGUAAUGGCUUACCAAGACUAUGACACAUAACUGGUUUGAGAGGAUGAUCAGUCACACUGGAACUGAGACACGGUCCAGACUCCUACGGGAGGCAGCAGUGGGGAAUAUUGCACAAUGGACGAAAGUCUGAUGCGGCAACGCCGCGUGGAGGAUGACACAUUUCGGUGCGUAAACUCCUUUUAUAUGAGAAGAUAAUGACGGUAUUAUAUGAAUAAGCACCGGCUAACUCCGUGCCAGCAGCCGCCGUAA
Molecule: ribosomal RNA, 484 nt
Filed under: uncultured bacterium
Lineage: Bacteria
Description: partial 16S ribosomal RNA
Rfam family: Bacterial small subunit ribosomal RNA
Source: RNAcentral